Molecule: small RNA, 72 nt
Filed under: Ligilactobacillus salivarius
Lineage: Bacteria; Bacillati; Bacillota; Bacilli; Lactobacillales; Lactobacillaceae
Source: RNAcentral
CAUCUGCAACCGCACGUUUUAAGUUUAAGUAUCUCUUUAGAGGUCACUACAUUACGGCGAGUCUAAGUAUUU